Molecule: long non-coding RNA, 1149 nt
Filed under: Homo sapiens (human)
Lineage: Eukaryota; Metazoa; Chordata; Mammalia; Primates; Hominidae
Description: HSALNT0348687
Source: RNAcentral
CACAUUUGGAUCUCUUAGCUCAUUUAACCCUCGCAAUAACCAUCUGAGGUCGAUGCAAUCAUAGACUCUAUUUACAAACAAGGAAACCAAGACACUGAGAGGCUAAAGUCACCUGUCCAAGGUCACCAAGCUCCUGGUGACCUUGAAUCUACUUUCUGCUGCUGAGAAUUUACCUAUUUUGGAUGCUUCAUGAGACGAUUCCUCUUAGCAAAAGGGCACUGUGUACCCUCCAAGGCUGGAAAUGAUAGGUUUUCGGCGAGGAGUGAAAAUAUUGUGCUGACAGCCCUUUGCCUGUGUAGAGCAGGGUUGUUUACUCGCGCUGGAGCACAGCUUUAUUGAAGCAGAGAGUCAUGGUCCCAUCAUCAGGGUUGCCUAGCAACCAGUCUACGCCACUCCACAGAGUUUCAGAAUGGGCUGGACCACAAGUACCCACUUUGGGGGAUUUCCAGUGACAGUCCUACUCUCACUCCAUCACAUCGCUUCUAAAAUCUGAGUCACAUGGUUCAAAUUUCACAGUACAAAGUGUGUUCUUCAGAUCUGGGGUUCUCUCCAAAAUGGAUAAUCAUUAUUGAUUUUGUAAUGCAAUGCCAAGACCAUCAGUAAGGUUAUGUGAAGUUGGCAGUUCCCAAGGGCUUUAGGCUUGAAGCUGUGGGUCAUACCCCUUCGGAAACUUGGUCCCCAAGAGAAAUGUAUGCUUCUGAAAACCACAGGUGCAUGAAUCGUGUUUAGUAAAUGACUACUAAACUGAAAUCAGGACUUGUCUAUAUCUUGGCUUCUCAAACUUGAAUAUGCUUAUCAUCUGGAUAGCAAAAGCAUUCCUACACGUUGAGGCCUGCCAGCGUGGGUGUCACCCAGGAGCCACUCGGAAAGGCUCAUCGGAAACCACCCCGGACUGACUGAGGCAGAAUCUCUGGGGGCAGGACCCAGGCCUCAGCAUAAAAACUCCAGGUGACGGAAGAGCUCCCACCUAACAGGUGUGUUGGCAUUGUUGUAGGUGACUGACGUAGUUUCCCAUCUCACAACUCUACCUCCAUGAAGAAAAGUCAUGGAAAAUUGAGACUUUGGGCUGAGUGUGGCUCAUCCCUGUAAUCUUAGUGCUUUGGGAGGCUGAGGUAGGAGGAUCGCUUGAGGCCAGGAAUUUGAGGCCAG